Molecule: small RNA, 23 nt
Filed under: Arabidopsis thaliana (thale cress)
Lineage: Eukaryota; Viridiplantae; Streptophyta; Magnoliopsida; Brassicales; Brassicaceae
Description: ATSL187540
Source: RNAcentral
AAUAUACAUAUAAAAAUAAUAAU